Long non-coding RNA from Sinocyclocheilus anshuiensis, 130 nucleotides. RefSeq lists it as uncharacterized. NCBI's taxonomy places the organism in Eukaryota, Metazoa, Chordata, Actinopteri, Cypriniformes, Cyprinidae. The record is from RefSeq and is a predicted model, not a curated record. The transcript is spliced from 3 exons.
CGAGCUCACUCCGUCAGCGUCGAGUGUUCUGAGGAGAGAAGAUCAUCUCCUCCCACUGCAUUCGCAUCAUCAGUGAAGCUCCUCCCACAUUAAUCACAUCAUCAGUGAAGCUCCUCCCACAGUAAUCGCA